AUUUAAUAAAGUUGUGUUUGUUAGGAGUAGGGAUAGAGCUUUCCAACAACAAUAUUUAAAUUCAGCAGGUUAAAUUACAUAGAAAUAUAUGCUGUAUUUUCUCAUCGAAAGCAAAUAGCACCACACUUCUGACAAAUUUGAUGAAGUGGGCGGCCAUUUUGUUUUAUGGAAAUUAGGGGCGAAGGACUAAAGAUACAGCUUGCCAACUCAGCAUGUCAAAAUACAUAGAAGUUUUAUUUUCUCUUCUAAUGCAAACACAAGCAAACUUUUGAAAAGCUUCAUGAAAUGAGCAGCAAUUGUGUUUUAUGAAAAUUAGGAGCGGAGGGGUAAAGAUACAGCUUGCCAACAAUAUUUGAAUUCAGCAGGUCAAAAUACAUAGAAAAGGGGGUUUAAUUUGCUUUUAUAGUACAUA
Thalassophryne amazonica is the source of this 412-nucleotide long non-coding RNA. RefSeq lists it as uncharacterized. Lineage: Eukaryota; Metazoa; Chordata; Actinopteri; Batrachoidiformes; Batrachoididae. The transcript is spliced from 4 exons. The record is from RefSeq and is a predicted model, not a curated record.